UCGAAGGUAGCAUAAUCAGUAGUCUUUUAAUUGAAGGCUGGUAUGAAUGGUUGGACGAAAUAUUAACUGUUUCAUAAGAAUUUGUAAUAAAAUUUUAUUUUUUAGUUAAAAAGCUAAAAUUAAUUUAAAAGACGAGAAGACCCUAUAAAUCUUUAUAUAAAAUAUAUUAUAAUUUUAUAGAUUAAUUUUAUUAUAAUAUUUAAUUGUAUUUUAUUGGGGUGAUAUUAAAAUUUAGUAAACUUUUAAUUUAUUUUAUCAUUGAUUUAUGAAUUAUUGAUCCAUUAUUAUUGAUUAAAAGAAUAAGUUACUUUAGGGAUAACAGCGUAAUUUUUUUGGAGAGUUCUUAUCAAUAAAAAAGAUUGCGACCUCG
Molecule: ribosomal RNA, 370 nt
Filed under: Rhinophora sp. n. AT-2015
Lineage: Eukaryota; Metazoa; Arthropoda; Insecta; Diptera; Rhinophoridae
Description: partial 16S ribosomal RNA
Source: RNAcentral